AUACGGGGGGAGCAAGCGUUGUUCGGAUUUACUGGGCGUAAAGGGCGCGUAGGCGGCGCAACAAGUCACUUGUGAAAUCUCCGGGCUUAACUCGGAGCGGCCAAGUGAUACUGUCGUGCUAGAGUGCGGAAGGGGCAACUGGAAUUCUCGGUGUAGCGGUGAAAUGCGUAGAUAUCGAGAGGAACACCUGCGGCGAAGGCGGGUUGCUGGGCCGACACUGACGCUGAGGCGCGAAAGCCAGGGGAGCGAACG
This 252-nucleotide ribosomal RNA is filed under the name uncultured prokaryote. Its description in RNAcentral is "partial 16S ribosomal RNA". It matches the Rfam family "Bacterial small subunit ribosomal RNA", at positions 523 to 774 of the family's 1533-position model. The record is from RNAcentral.